CCCUUAGAUGUUCUGGGCUGCACGCGCGCUACACUGAUGCAUUCAAUGAGUAUUUUCCUUACUUGAAAAAGUUUGGUAAUCUGAGAGUAGUAUGCAUCGUGAUGGGAAUAGACUUUUGCAACUAUUAGUCUUGAACGAGGAAUUCCUCGUAAGCACAAGUCAUCAGCUUGUGCUGAUUACGUCCCUGCCCUUUGUACACACCGCCCGUCGCUCCUACCGAUUGGGUGCUCCGGUGAAUUGCCUGGAUAUCCGAUGCUUCUACCUUUGUGGCAGCGUAGUUUGUUUGAAGUUCUGUGAACCUUAGCACCUAGAGGAAGGAGAAGUCGUANCA
RNAcentral lists this ribosomal RNA (331 nucleotides) under uncultured eukaryote. RNAcentral's name for it is "partial 18S ribosomal RNA". It matches the Rfam family "Eukaryotic small subunit ribosomal RNA", at positions 1470 to 1796 of the family's 1831-position model. The record is from RNAcentral.